Molecule: ribosomal RNA, 980 nt
Filed under: Klebsiella pneumoniae
Lineage: Bacteria; Pseudomonadati; Pseudomonadota; Gammaproteobacteria; Enterobacterales; Enterobacteriaceae
Description: bacterial SSU rRNA
Rfam family: Bacterial small subunit ribosomal RNA
Source: RNAcentral
AAACUGCCUGAUGGAGGGGGAUAACUACUGGAAACGGUAGCUAAUACCGCAUAAUGUCGCAAGACCAAAGUGGGGGACCUUCGGGCCUCAUGCCAUCAGAUGUGCCCAGAUGGGAUUAGCUAGUAGGUGGGGUAACGGCUCACCUAGGCGACGAUCCCUAGCUGGUCUGAGAGGAUGACCAGCCACACUGGAACUGAGACACGGUCCAGACUCCUACGGGAGGCAGCAGUGGGGAAUAUUGCACAAUGGGCGCAAGCCUGAUGCAGCCAUGCCGCGUGUGUGAAGAAGGCCUUCGGGUUGUAAAGCACUUUCAGCGGGGAGGAAGGCGGUAAGGUUAAUAACCUUGGCGAUUGACGUUACCCGCAGAAGAAGCACCGGCUAACUCCGUGCCAGCAGCCGCGGUAAUACGGAGGGUGCAAGCGUUAAUCGGAAUUACUGGGCGUAAAGCGCACGCAGGCGGUCUGUCAAGUCGGAUGUGAAAUCCCCGGGCUCAACCUGGGAACUGCAUUCGAAACUGGCAGGCUAGAGUCUUGUAGAGGGGGGUAGAAUUCCAGGUGUAGCGGUGAAAUGCGUAGAGAUCUGGAGGAAUACCGGUGGCGAAGGCGGCCCCCUGGACAAAGACUGACGCUCAGGUGCGAAAGCGUGGGGAGCAAACAGGAUUAGAUACCCUGGUAGUCCACGCCGUAAACGAUGUCGAUUUGGAGGUUGUGCCCUUGAGGCGUGGCUUCCGGAGCUAACGCGUUAAAUCGACCGCCUGGGGAGUACGGCCGCAAGGUUAAAACUCAAAUGAAUUGACGGGGGCCCGCACAAGCGGUGGAGCAUGUGGUUUAAUUCGAUGCAACGCGAAGAACCUUACCUGGUCUUGACAUCCACAGAACUUUCCAGAGAUGGAUUGGUGCCUUCGGGAACUGUGAGACAGGUGCUGCAUGGCUGUCGUCAGCUCGUGUUGUGAAAUGUUGGGUUAAGUCCCGCAACGAGCG